GAACCCACCUGGGUUGAAAACCGGGGGGAUGACCUAGGGCUAGGGGUGAAAGGCCAAUCAAAUUCCGUGAUAGCUGGUUCUCUCCGAAAUGCAUUUCGGUGCAGCGUCGCGUGACUGCCUCCGGGGGGUAGAGCUACUGGAUGCUUGAGGGCCCUUGCAGGGUACCGACAGCAGCCAAACUCCGAAUACCCGAGAGGUGUAUCGCGGCAGUGAGUCGGCGGGGGAUAAGCUCCGUCGUCGAAAGGGAAACAGCCCAGAUCGUCGUCUAAGGUCCCCAAGCGCGUGCUAAGUGGGAAAGGAUGUGGAGUCGCAUAGACAGCCAGGAGGUUGGCUCAGAAGCAGCCACCCUUGAAAGAGUGCGUAACAGCUCACUGGUCUAGUGGUUCCGCGCCGACAAUGUAGCGGGGCUCAAGCACGCCACCGAAGACGCGGCAGCGCCAUUGGCGCUGGGUAGGAGAGCGUUCCAUCCGGGGCGAAGCGGCGGCGUAAGCCUGCCGUGGACCGUUUGGAAGCGAGAAUGCAGACAUGAGUAGCGAAAGACGGGUGAAGAUCCCGUCCGCUGGAUGACCAAGGGUUCCGGGGCCACGUUCAUCGUCCCCGGGUUAGUCGGGUCCUAAGGCGAGGCCGACAGGCGUAGUCGAUGG
RNAcentral lists this ribosomal RNA (644 nucleotides) under Chaetoceros curvisetus. RNAcentral describes it as "partial Bacterial large subunit ribosomal RNA". It matches the Rfam family "Bacterial large subunit ribosomal RNA", at positions 776 to 1421 of the family's 2925-position model. The record is from RNAcentral. Lineage: Eukaryota; Bacillariophyta; Thalassiosirophyceae; Chaetocerotales; Chaetocerotaceae.